RNAcentral lists this long non-coding RNA (2348 nucleotides) under Zostera marina. RNAcentral describes it as "long non-coding RNA (ZMAR_LNC002489)". Lineage: Eukaryota; Viridiplantae; Streptophyta; Magnoliopsida; Alismatales; Zosteraceae. The record is from RNAcentral.
UCUUCUUUUAUCUUUUGGAAUGGUAUGAAAUUGAAUGGUAUGUUUUGGAUAAUUUUUAUGGAAUGUGUAUGAAUAUAUGUUUGAAUGAUUUUUUCAGGUUAUAUGAAUGUCUAAGACCUUACAAUAGACGUCUUCUAAAAUUUAAAUAUUUCCUAUAAUUUUUUAGAAAUUAGCCACGGCCUUUUGGCAUUUAGCCACGGAAUUUGGUCGUCGCCCUUCACUUUCCACUUUAUUUCAAGGAUUUAGCCACGACCAAUAAAAGAUUAGCCACGGAUUUUGGCCGCGACCCUUCACUUUUCUCUCUGUUUCAAAGAUUUAGUCACGGCCAUUAAAAGAUUAGCCAUUUUUCAUUCCUCAAAAAAAUUAGACACGGCAAAAAAAAAUAGCCAUCGAAUUAUGCCGUGGUUAAUUUUUUUAAAAAAUUUACCCGAUUACCGAUUACCAAUAUUAGCCACAGAAAAUAACCGUGGCUAAAAAUUAGUAGCCACAAGACCUAUAGUCAUGACACCUCCCGUGGCUAAAGGAUUUUGCCAUUUAACCAGUGAACUUGGCCGUGACUGUUUCCCUAUUUUCUUGUAGUGACAAGUGAAGCCUUUAGCCUUGGCAAGCGUGUUGCCAAGGAAGAAUGUAUGAGUCAAAACGUGCGUGUAGGGAGUAUCGGCAACAACUGCAGAAGACAAAAAAACAGUUAGAUAGAAUAAAAAGGUAGAUAGAAUCGCGAUGUUAACUCACCAUCGAUCUUCCAUGGUGCGUAAUGGGAAAGGAGAUGAUUUUAGCAAACUGAGGAAGAGAUGAUUCUAGCCACGGAAUUUGGCCGUCGCCCUUCACUUUCCACUUUAUUUUCAAGGAUUUAGCCACAGCCAAUAAAAGAUUUGCCACGGAUUUUGGCCGCGACCUUCCAUUUCUCUCUCUAUUUCAAGAAUUUAGUCACGAAAAUUAAAAGAUUAGCCAUUUUUCAUUCCUCAAAAAAAUUAGACACGACAAAAAAAAAUAGUCAUUGAAUUAUGCCGUGGUUAAUUUUUUUUAAAAUUUUACCCGAUUACCGAUUACCAAUAUUAGCUACAAAAAAUAGCCGUGGCUAAAAAUUAGCUACAGAAAACCAUUUUCGUGACCAAAAAUCAGUAGUCACCAAACCUACAACCACGACACCUCCCGUGUUUAACCUUUAGCCUUGGCAAGCGUGUUGCAAAAGAAGAAUAUAUGAGUCAAAACAUGCGUGUAGGAAGUAUCGACAACAACGGCAGAAAACAAAAAAACAGUUAGAAUAAAAAGGUAGAUAGAAUCGCGAUGUUGUUAACUCACUAUCGAUCUUCCAUGGUGGGCAACCGGAAAGGAGAUGAUUCUAGCAAACUGAAGAAGAGAAGAAUAAAAAAAAGAUACGACAGGAAGACAUUAAAUAAGAGGGAAGAAAAAGACAGAUUAAUUCAGACAUUUAUGAAGGUUACCUUUUGCGUUCUCCAACGUUUUGGAAAUGAGGAAGAGCAACCGAUAUGAGAAAGAAUGUAGCGCCUAUCUAGUCAGGUGUAAAGUCUACCAUCAGUCGACGCGGCAGAGAGCUCACACCACCCAUCAGUAGGGGGAAGCUUUUCAGCACAGCGACAUCCCAAGGAAAUUAAUCUUGACGGCAUUGGGAGUCAAGAACGAAAGGAAAGCGGAUCGUGGAGGCAGCAAAGAGGGCAGAUCUUGAUGCGACGGAGUGUGGCUCAGUUUGCUGGUCGCAACGCAUGAACUUAAAGAUAGAGAUCGCUGAAGAGAAAGGGAGGAAGACAAGUACGAGGAAGAAAGAAAUGAGGUGUGUAGAUGCGUGGAUGAAACUGAGGAGUGUUCAAUGCCAUUUCUUAUAACGGAGAGCUGCGAAGUUACCAAGAAGAAUUUUAACGAAGUUUGGUGAGGGGGCGUCUUUUAUUUAAUUUACCCCAUAGGGAUGAAAACGUGAAGUACAGUCACAUGCAAACAAAAUAUGCAAUAUCACUAGGAAAUCAAAGAUAAAGAAAGGAGCCCAAUACAAGUCCAGUUGUUAGUCGUGGGUGUUGUUCUUGCAACGACUGGUUUGUCGACGAGCGGCGUACAGAGAAGGUUCGCUAACUGCAUCAGCAAGGGUAGGUACCACGCCUCUUUCCUUUUUUAGUUGAGCAAGGCGGAGACGGAUGUCAAUGAGUAGUUUAUGAGUACGUUAUGAAAGAUAUUGCAAGUGGGAGAAAAGGGAGUCAUUUUUGGUCACGAUCUGUAUCAGUUCCAAAGCAAAUUCCUCGAAUGCGGCUAUAAACAUCACAAACACUGACAAAUGGAAACGAGAGACAUAACAGUCCAAGUAAUCUGCUGCUGGGGUUAAUUUUAAAUCAUUUAAC